CCUACGGGUGGCUGCAGUGGGGAAUAUUGCACAAUGGGGGAAACCCUGAUGCAGCGACGCCGCGUGAGUGAAGAAGUAUUUCGGUAUGUAAAGCUCUAUCAGCAGGGAAGAAAUAGCGACCUUUGGGUCGCCAGACGGUACCUGAUUAAGAAGCCCCGGCUAACUACGUGCCAGCAGCCGCGGUAAUACGUAGGGGGCAAGCGUUAUCCGGAUUUACUGGGUGUAAAGGGAGCGUAGACGGCGGCGCAAGUCUGAAGUGAAAUGCCGGGGCUUAACCCCGGAACUGCUUUGGAAACUGUGCAGCUAGAGUGCAGGAGAGGUAAGUGGAAUUCCUAGUGUAGCGGUGAAAUGCGUAGAUAUUAGGAGGAACACCAGUGGCGAAGGCAGUUCACUGGACUGCAACUGACACUGAGGCUCGAAAGUGUGGGUAUCAAACAGGAUUAGAUACCCUAGUAGUC
RNAcentral lists this ribosomal RNA (458 nucleotides) under uncultured bacterium. RNAcentral describes it as "partial 16S ribosomal RNA". It matches the Rfam family "Bacterial small subunit ribosomal RNA", at positions 338 to 795 of the family's 1533-position model. The record is from RNAcentral.